Molecule: transfer RNA, 72 nt
Filed under: Bacteroidia bacterium
Lineage: Bacteria; Pseudomonadati; Bacteroidota; Bacteroidia
Also listed under: 2 other names
Description: tRNA-OTHER
Rfam family: tRNA (bases 5-68)
About the family: Transfer RNA (tRNA) molecules are approximately 80 nucleotides in length. Their secondary structure includes four short double-helical elements and three loops (D, anti-codon, and T loops). Further hydrogen bonds mediate the characteristic L-shaped molecular structure. tRNAs have two regions of fundamental functional importance: the anti-codon, which is responsible for specific mRNA codon recognition, and the 3' end, to which the tRNAs corresponding amino acid is attached (by aminoacyl-tRNA synthetases). tRNAs cope with the degeneracy of the genetic code in two manners: having more than one tRNA (with a specific anti-codon) for a particular amino acid; and 'wobble' base-pairing, i.e. permitting non-standard base-pairing at the 3rd anti-codon position.
Source: RNAcentral
AGAUGAAUUAGCUCAAUGGUAGAGCGUCCCUGUCUAUCGGGAAGGUCGCCGGUUCGAUUCCGGUAUUCUGUC